This 27362-nucleotide long non-coding RNA is filed under the name Manihot esculenta (cassava). RNAcentral describes it as "long non-coding RNA (MESC_LNC005132)". Lineage: Eukaryota; Viridiplantae; Streptophyta; Magnoliopsida; Malpighiales; Euphorbiaceae. The record is from RNAcentral.
GCAAAGAGCGUCAAUGAUUGCAUUGUAUGUCACAACAUUUGGCUCACAACCUCUAUCAGCCAUUCCCUUUAGUAGCCCAAUAGCCACAUUUGUUUUCCCAAAUUUACACAUUCCGUUUACUAUCACAUUGAAAGUACGAACAUCAGGUUGAUAACCACGUGCAACCAUAUAAUCGAAAAAUUCCACCGCUUUAUCGAUUUUACGCUCCAUACAAAGCCCAUUAAUUAAGGUAUUAAAUGUCACAGUGGUAGGCUCCAAUCCGAAUUUGAGCAUCUUACCAAAAACAGAGAAGCCAAAAUCCACAAGGUGCAAGUGGCAGAAACAAUUAAUUAAGAUGCUAAGAGAAUAAACAUCGUGUGAGAUUCCUAGCAAUUCAAUUGUUUUGGGCAUGGAAAAGACAGUGUGAUAUUGUUUCAUUUUCACAAGGGCAGAUAAGAAUCUACUAAAUUGAGCCCUAGAAGGAAGAGGAUGCUUAUGAAUUACAUGAUUGAAGGAAGCAAUGGCAUCAUGAAGGUGGGUAAAAGAAGCAGAUUUGAAGUUAUUUGUCAAGAAGCGUGCAUCUUCAAGUGUGGAAGUAGAAGAAUGGCAAUAAUUGGUAAAUAAGAAUAGGAAUGGAGAUUGAAUGGUACCAAUUGCCCCUUGUAGCUGAAGAUGGAAGCUCCUGCUCUUCCUCCUCGAAGGCAUCUUCAUCAUCAUGGAUCUCUUGUCAGUUGUUUUUAGGGAUGGAUCGGAGAUUGGGAAUGAGGAAAGGAAAUAGAGAAUCGGAAAAGGAAGGCUCUCUGCCAGCUGGUAAUGUGGUAAGGAUAAUACCUCGUGUACGUUAAAUCAUAUUAUAAUCAAACUAUUUUCUACACCUUCAUUUUGAGAUUUCUAAUAGAUACUCAAGUAUUAUAGGGGUUGUCCACAAUCAACCAUCGGGUGUUUAUUUAUUUUACAAAUUGAUAUCGAUAUUAUACCCAUCAAGAAUGUCAGGAUACUUUCACUAAAAAUUAUUCUUGAUAUUAAUUACACUAUAUUUUAUAUAUAUAAAGUAAAACCAAACUUUUUUCAUAUUGUUUAAAUGAAAGUAAAAUAAAGAUUUUUUAUUGUUUUUAUAGCAAAUCCUUUUAUUAUUGAGAAAAAACUUAAAUUUGAUUCAAAAUUCUAGACUAUCUCUUGCUAGCUGUAUUAGAGUUGUUUAUUUCAUUUUUUUAAUUUCAUAAAUGAUUUUGCUUUUUUAAAAAAAUUAUUAGUUUUUUCCUUUUAUAAAUUAAAUGUAUAAUUUUUUUUCUCAGUAGAAAAGUUAAAUUUUUAUUUUUUUUUAUUUUUUAUUUUGCAAUAUAUAGACAAACAAUCCUAUUUAAUGUAUAUGUUUAAUAAAGGAAUAGCUUAGUUACAUUGAAAAGUGAUAUCUUAAGCAUUAAUUAUACAGUACAAAUUACGUAAUGAUUUUGUGAAUCAUGCUGUAAGCGAAUAUAUAUAUAUAUAUAUGAGUGCAAUUGUGUAGAAAGUGAAUUAAGAAAUUAAUUUGCUUAUUGGUAAAUUGAUAUUUUUAAAUAGGCUUAUGAGCAUUUAAUUUUUAUAUUUUGUCAAAAUUGACCAUUUAAUUUUUUAAUUCUGUCAUUUGGUUAAAAUAAACUUUUAUAUUAUUUAUUUUUUAAUUUUAUAUAUAUAAUUUAAUUUUUUAAAUUAAAGCUAAAAAUAUAUUUACUAAUAUUUUAUUCGAUAAGAAUAUGAAAGAGUUUGAAUUUAUAAAAUUCAAAAUGUUUUAAUUGAGUGAUUUGAAAAUAGAGAUUGAAUAAUUAAUUUUGAUAAAAUAUAAGGAUUUAUUAAUAAUUUAAAUAUAUAAAAAAGAAUUAUUUAAAACUCUCUAAAGUUUCAUAUGAUAACCCCUUACAAGUUUCAGUAGUUCAUCAAACUUGUCAGUAGUGUAAAUAAGUUCGAUUGGCCAUUAAUUUUGGAGUCGAAAUCACUAUCCUGAAACUGUUUAAUCAGUUCUUGUAAUGCUGGAAACUUCAGAUUCUCUACUGAGAUUUAAUAUUUUUUGCUCUCGUCACCCACGUAAAUGGCUACAUAACCUUUUCGAAUUUAUGGGAUUUUAACUUUCAAAUCAGUCGAAUUGGAGAAUAAUUUAUAGGAAAAAGAUUAAGUAAUUGUAUAAUGUUAAUCUAAAAUUUUAGGAAGAAUUUAUUUUCUUGCUAAAAACUCUCUACAAUGAUAUUAUUAUCAAAAUUUUCUAAGUUAAAGGAAAGGUUUGAGUGUGAAGAACUCGAAAGGAAAUUAUAUAGGAGAGAAGAGUAAUUGAGAUUUAAUUUAUAUAUAUGGAUAAGGAGUGGAUUUUUAUGAUAAAAUUUAGAUUUUUAGCAUUAGCUAAAAUUUUUUAGCUGGAUUAAUUUAUUAAUUGGUUUAAAAAAAGUUGCAAAUUAAAACAGUGAAGAAGAAUCUUUAUUAAUUAUCGAAUUAUUUUCAUUUUAAUUUAUUAAUGGUAAUUGCUAAAUAUGGUAAUUAAGUGAUGCUUCAGUUUAUAAUUUUGAGAAUAAAUAAAAUUUCUUUGAUUUUAUGAUUUUAAGUUUCUUAAGAUGGUAGAAUUAGUUUAUAGGUCAGUAGAUUUUUUGUAAGGAGUUUGAAAUGGUUAUAAUAAAAAAAUUAAAUAUUUUAUUUUUUUUAUAUCAACACGAACAUUGUUAAAAAUAACAAAAUUAUUAAAAUUAUUGAAUAAAUUAAUAAAAAUUAAUAAGAUUAGCUAAAAUUAAUCAUGAGUGAAAAUAUUGAAUAACAUAAAAAUUUUGAUUUUUUCUUUUGUUAUUUAAUUUUUUUUAAAGAAAUGAAGAUAACUAUUUUUUAACAAAAGUGGGGCCAUUGAAACUAGAAUUAGCUGCUUCGAUUCAAUUUUUCUUUUCCUUUUUUGUAAAUGUUAUGUAGAUUCCCUUCAUUUUUUUUUUCUUACUAGAAUUUAUUUUCUUUUUGUAGUUUAUUAACUAUCAUACAUUACAAAAUAAUGUUUAAUGGAAAAUUUUAAUUAUAGUUUUAUUAAUAAUGAUGUUUAUAUUAAUUUUAUAUUAUUUAAUUUUAUAUAAUAAGAUAAAUAAUAGAAAAAUAAAAAUAAAAAUACCUUAUAUAUAUAUAUAUAUAUAUUUAUUUAUUGAAAGGUUAAUUUAUGUAAGAGUUUUUUUAUAAUAAAGUUAUAUAUUUAAUUUAAUUAAAAUUAUAUUUUUUUAAAAUAGAAUUUAUAUUUAAAUAAAAAAAAUUCUAACCGAUUAAAUUAAAUAUUUUAUUUUUAAUCAAUUAAAAUAAAGAGUUACUUAUAAUUAUUAAAUUUAACCACCUUUUAUAUUGAAAAUUUCAUUAUUUCCCUUUACUUUCCAUUUAUAUAAAUAUAUAUGUGUAUAUUAUUAAAAAUCAAAUAAUCACAGAUAAAAAAAAUAAGCGAUACACAAAUUUAAUGUGAUUAAUCAAUUUGGCAAGAUCAUGACGAUUAUUUUUUUUUUUAUUUUUCUAUGAAUUUUUGAAUAUAAUACACUAGAAAAAUAUUAUAUUUUUAUAUGUCUAAGAAAAUAUAAAAAAGAUAUAAUAGUUUUAAAAAAUUUACGAUCAUGGAGUAUAAUGUAUAUUUUAUAAUAUAUUAUUAGUUUCCAUAUCUCAACAUAUAUAUAUUUUAUAAAAUAAAAUUUAUAAUAAAUAGAAAAUAAUUUUAACCAAAUAAAUUAAAUAUUUUAGAGAAUAAUUUUUUUUUCAAUAAAUCAAAAUAAAUAGUUAAUUUUACUUUAUGUAUAUAUAUAAUAAGUUUUAGUUUAAAACUAAUAAAUUUAAAACUAAAUAAUUUUAAUUAAAUAAGUAUAUAUAAAAAUUAAUUCACAAACUUGUAAAAACCAAAUUUUUAAAUAUUAACGAUCCCGAUGUCUGCAAGUUUUAAAAGUGUAAUUAAACUAUAUAAAGUUAAAUUUUAAAAAACUAAGAUUGACUUGUGAAAGUAUAUGUAGAGUUUAAACUUAUUUCUCUUAUGAUAUUAAUCUCAACCUAUCACGAGAACACCUAUCUGAUUUGGAGUGAUACACUCUGCUAAUUUCUUCUGGUGCUUCACAUUUCUUGAUUAGUGAUCAUUAAUCUAAUUAAUAUUAAGUAAUCAUAUAGAUUUUACACACUAAUAUUUAAAAAUGUCUCUUUUCUUCUGAAUCCAAGGACCAUACUUACAGAUUCAAGCUCCGGAUUCAAGGCUCUUCUUCUCCAAUACUCUGCAUCGUCAACCAUCAAUAAAAAUAGCGCAGCCAGAAGCUUGACUGCAUUUGCAGUGAAUCUUCGCUCAGCUGAAGACUCUUGAGACUUUGUUCUUCUUCACUGUGUCAUUUUGAGACAAGAAUCAUUUUGUAAGCCAAUUACAAGAAAAGCUAUUUUUGAGGCAUAACUGUACUAAAUAAUCUGCAACUAAAUUUGCUUUUUUGUAAAUUUUAUCCCUGUACUUUAUUGAAAUAUAAGAUUUGGUCCUUAUAUUUUUAAAUUCUACUAUUAAGUCCCUAAAAAUUUUGACAGAAAAAUCAACAAUUCAGUCCCUACCAUCAAAACAAGAGUUAACUUUCUCUUAAAACUAUUAAAAAAUGACCAUAAUGCCUUCUAGUAUAUAUUUUUAUAUUAAAAUAUUAAUUUUUAAUGAUGAUUAGGAUGCUGACGUGAUAUUUCUGUUAAAUCUAACAUCAAAUUUACUGGUAGGUUAUAAAUAAAUUUAGAUAGUUAGUUUAGAGUAUAUUAGUUAAUUUUUAUAAUUUAGAGUAUAUCUGUUAAAAUGCGAAUAGUUCAAAGUUUUUUUUGCCACCAUCCCUUUUGCAAAUUGAUCUUGAAUACUUAUUAUAUAUAAUCUUAUUCAUAAAUAGUUAUAAUAUGUAAGGAUUAAUUUGUAAAAUUAUAGAAAUUAUUUGUCAAUAAUUAAUGUUGGAAAGAAUCCUCUGCCAUGAUUGUAAAUCAAUCAGUGAUCCUCUGUCAUGAUUGUAAAUCAAUCAGUGAUCAAAUCUUACCAUGUUUAGCAUAGCACAAUUCUAGGACAUAAUUGAGGGCACAAUCAAAGGUCUAAUUGUUCAUAUUAUGUACUAUAUAAACUCUGUAACUUACUACACAAGAGGUAAGAAAAUAAAAACAGUUUUCUUCCUAUAAUCUCAAGAUGGUAUCAGAGCGGGUUUGGGUCUAAAAAUAUAGUCAUCCUGCAAUAAUCCUUUACCAGAUACCUUUCCCAACUUCUUUCUCUCACCAAAACAACAAUGGCCGACCUUCCCAGCCCGGUUGACCAAUCCCAGGCAAUAAUUGAUCCAAUAGCAGACCUGUCACAAAAACUAUUCCAGUUAAUUCAGAAUAGCCAAGAUGGAAAUCAGAAAUCAGUGAACCAAUUCACUCUUGAUUCAGCACAGCCACCAUCCGACAUAAAAUUGAAUGAUUCCAAUUAUGUUGUAUGGGCAAAGAUGAUGGAGAUGUUUAUCACGGCGCUACAAGAAGCCGCGAAAGGAGGAGGCACAUGUGUCCCUUAUGAUCGAGAAGGAGGUAUUUUAGGGUUAGAAAGGAGGGCAAAUGACCUUUCUACCCCUGUCUCUUUAAAUAAAUCUAAAUGUGCCUCUGCUUGUUUUAAUUCUUGUAAAAUUAAAUCCCUGGUCUCGGAUGUUUUAGAUAAGUUUGGUUGUAAUCCCAAAACUGAAUCGUUAGCCCCUAAUUCUAUCGGUCAUGCUAACAAGGUACAAAAUACUAAUGGGUGGAUAUUUGAUUCAGGAGCCACAGAUACUAUGACUAAUGAUUCUUCAGAUUUUGUUGUGUCAGCCCCACCCUCAAAAUCCAAUAUUCUAAACGCUACCGGUGGCUCCUUCCCGGUCAUCAGUGGUGGUACCGUUUCUAUAACCCCCACUUUAAAUGUCUCCAACAGCCUCUAUAUACCUUCCUUAUCUUGCAAAUUACUCUCUGUCAGUCAGAUCACCAAACAGUUAAAUUGCAGAGUACUCAUGUAUCCUCAUUUUUGUGUUUUGCAGGAUAUUCAUACGGGCACGGUACUGGGCCGUGGUACUGAGAAAGAUGGACUAUACUAUGUGGAGGAGGUCUCAAAUACUGGGUCAGCUCAUUUAGCUCAAGGGUCCUCAACCCGACAGUUAUGGUUCUGGCACCGGCGCUACGGCCAUCCCUCAAGUGAUUAUCUUCGUACUUUGUUUCAUGAGUUUAAAUCCAUUGACAUUUCAGUUUGUACUUCAUGCGUGCUUGCUAAGAGUCAUAAGAGUACUUAUCAUAUAUCCACAAAUAAAUCUGAUACUCCCUUCUCAAUAAUACACUCUGAUGUAUGGGGGCCUGCCCCGGAAACUGUCUCCCUUGAUUAUAGAUACUUUGUGACUUUUAUUGGUGAUUGCACUCGUGUUACUUGGGUUUACCUGUUAAAACAAAAAAGUGAAGUGGCUGAGACAUUCUGUGAUUUUUUCCGCAUGAUUAAAACCCAAUUUUACAGGACCAUUCAAGUCCUCCGAUCUGACAAUGGGGGGGAAUUUGUCAAUAACCAUCUCCAAACCUUUUUCUGGGAUAAUGGGAUCCUUCACCAAACUACUUGUCCUUAUACACCACAGCAAAAUGGGGUUGCUGAAAGGAAAAAUCGACAUAGCCUUGAGACUGCCAGAGCCCUAUUGUUUGAAGCCCAAGUUCCUCCUAAGUUUUGGUCUGAAGCAGUUGCCACAUCCAUUUACCUCAUCAAUCGACUUCCGUCUCGCGUCCUUAAUUUCCAAUCUCCCUUGCAUACCUUGUCCUCUCAUCACACCAUCCCUUCCCAUCUCAACCUUCCACCUAAAAUCUUUGGCUGCACAGUUUAUGUUCACAUUCCUAAAACACACCGCACUAAACUUGAUCUAUGUGCUCUUAAGUGUGUUUUCUUUGGUUAUGGUGUCCAUAAAAAGGGCUAUCGGUGUUUUGACCCAAUCUCUAAACGGCUCUUCACUACCAUGGACUGCACUUUUCUGGAAGAGGAAUAUUUUUUUCCCUCGCCAACUAGCAGUGAGGGGGAGACAACGGCACAAUCACCACCACUGCCAAAUUGGCUUAGUCAAGAGGGGCCAUAACUUGAUCAUUCUUCUCUUCCUGAGUCUAUACCAGAACUGGGAGACACCAGUCAUUCUUCCCUUCCUGAGUCUACACCAGAACUGGGAGACACUAACCAUCUAGUACAGUCCUUGGAAUCAACAUCACAACCAGAACCUGGCACCGUAGAAUAUCCUGAGGAACACACAACUGAGGUAUGUGAAUCUGAACUUUCUCCUGUUCCUAAUAACCUCACCACUGAACCCAUUUCCCUUGAGGUUCUUGAAACAGGCCAAUAUGUUCUACCCCCUCGGAAUAAUAGAGGAAUUCCACCCAGGAGAUAUGAUCCAGAAUUCGAGGCAGCCAGGUCCAGAUACACUGGCAAACGUUACCAGAGGAGAAAGACUAUCACCUCAGUUGGUCAACUACAGAAAAACAUUUGCUCAGAAUGGAUACCAAAGGAUGCCACAGAGGCCCAAAAGGACAAAAGAUGGGUUGAGGCAAUGGAGAUCGAGAUGGAUGCCCUGGAGAAAAACAAGACCUGGGAAAAAUGCUGGCUACCCAAGGGAAAACAACCAGUGGGAUGCAAAUGGGUGUUUACCAUAAAGUAUAAGUCAGACGGAACGGUGGACAGAUAUAAAGCUAGACUUGUAGCAAAAGGAUAUACUCAGACUUAUGGAGUUGACUAUUCUGAAACAUUCUCUCCAGUAGCAAAAAUUGACACAAUACGGGUCCUAUUCUCUCUAGCUGCAAACCUAGACUGGCCACUUCACCAAUUUGAUGUGAAAAAUGCUUUCUUGCAUGGUGAUCUAGAAGAGGAAGUAUACAUGGAUGCUCCACCAGGGUUCAUGAGUGGAUAUAGAAGGGGAGAAGUGUGUUGAUUGAGGCGAGCCUUGUAUGGGUUGAAACAGUCACCCAGAGUAUGGUUUGGGAGAUUUACUCAAGUAAUGAAGAAAAAUGGAUAUCGGCAGAGUAACUCCGAUCACACUCUAUUCUUGAAGAGGCAAGGAAGGAAGAUCACGUGUUUGAUUAUAUACGUGGAUGACAUGAUUAUAACUGGAGACGAUGUGGACGAAACCAAACAACUGAGGGACAACUUAUUCCAAGAAUUUGAGAUGAAAGACCUAGGGAUUCUAAAAUAUUUUCUUGGAAUCAAAGUUCUCAGAUCAGACCAGGGAAUUUUGAUAUCACAGAGAAAGUACAUUCUUGAUCUGUUAAUUGAAACAGGAAUGAUAGAUUGCAAACCAGUCGAUACUCCGGUAAUGGUCAAUCAUGAGUUAAGUAAGGACUCAAAAGAAGGACCCACAGACAGGGGGAGGUACCAGAGACUGGUAGGAAAACUGAUUUAUUUAUCACACACCAGAUCAGACGUGGCAUAUGCUGUGAGUUUGGUAAGUUAGUUCAUGCAUGAUCCAAAACAAGACAAUAUGGAGGCAGCAUUGAGAAUCGUUUGAUAUCUGAAAGGAACAGCUGGGAUGGGCAUGUUGUUCAAAAAGAAUGGUCAUUUCAAUAUCAGUGGAUAUACGGACGCAAGUUGGGCAGGAGAUCUCUCCGACAGACGAUCUACUUCAGGAUACUUUACCUUUGUCGGAGGAAAUUUGGUAACGUGGAAAAGUAAGAAACAAAAGGUGGUGGCACUGUCAAGUGCUGAAGCAGAAUUCAGGGGAAUAGCAAAAGGACUGGUAGAACUCCUAUGGAUCAGAAAGUUGAUGUUUGAGCUUGGAUUCCCAUCAAAGGAUGCAGCUGAACUCCAUUGUGACAACAAGGCGGCAAUAAGCAUUUCUGAAAAUCCAGUUCAGCAUGAUCGAACAAAAUAUGUUGAAAUAGACUGACAUUUCAUCAAAGAAAAGUUGGACAGUGGUCUGAUAUCUUUACCGUUUGUUCGAUCAGAGGAUCAAUGGGCGGACAUCCUAACCAAAGCAGUAGCUGGACGAAUAUUCCAUGAGGUUUUGGGCAAGUUGGGUAUGCUAGAUCCACAUGAACCAACUUGAGGGAGAGUGUUGGAAAGAAUCAUCUGUCAUGAUUGUAAAUCAAUCAGUGAUCAAAUCUUACCAUGUUUAGCAUAGCACGAUUCUAGGACAUAAUUGAGGGCACAAUCAAAGGUCUAAUUGUUCAUAUUAUGUACUAUAUAAACUCUGUAACUUACUACACAAGAGGUAAGAAAAUAAAAACAGUUUUCUUCAUAUAAUCUCAAGAAUUAAAAUAUUCAGAAUUAAUUUGUAAAAUAGAAGGAGUUAUUUGUAAAUAAGUAUAUUAUUAGGAUCAACUUGUAAAAUUGUAGGUACUUAUUUAUAAAGAGUAAAAACUUUGUGAUUAAAUUUAUAAUAAUAUUAGGAUAAAUUAAAAAAUAUAAAAUUUAAAUUAGAAGACUAAACUAUAAAUCUAAUUAAACGUAUGAAAUUUUAUUGUUUUAGAUGAAAAUAUAUUUUAGAGGGUAUUAUGAUAUUUUUUAAUAGAUUCAAAAGUCUUAAAAGUUUAAAAGGAAUCGUAUUGUAAAGAUAAGAAUCAAUAUAACGUCUUAAUUUGUAUCGAUAAUGCAGUGAUUUUACCAUUUGCAAUUUUUAAUAAAAAUCUGUUGGUAAAUAAAUUAUCUAAUUCAUUGUUAAAAAGUUCGAUGGUAAAUUUUUAUUAAUAACUUUUAAGUCCGUUAAUAAUACUAAUGGAUUUAUUAAUAGAGUUUUGAUUAUUAUUAAUAACAGAUUUUAAAUCUGUUAAGAGAAAAAUAAUUUACUAAUAAACGUGAAAUCCGUUAAGAAAUUACCAACGUAUUGUAAUUCUUAGUCAAUUUAUUGAGUUUAAAUAAUUUUUUAUUAAUUUAAUAAGACUUAAAAUUAUAUUAUUAUUGUUACUAAGUUUUUAAUUUAUACCCAAUGUGUAUUAGAAAUACAUAGAAAGUGAAAAUAAGAGAAAAGUAAAUGGUAUAAAAUGAGAGAAAAUAAUAAAAGAGAAAGAAAAAAGAGAAAAAUAAAGAAAAUGAUAGAAAAAUAAAAAUUAUGAAAAAGAAAGAAGAAUGAGAGUAGGGUAAAAAGAUGAUUAGAGAAACAGAAAAAAAAGUGAACAAAUGAUUGGAGAAGAAAAUAAAUAAAGAGAAAAAAUAUAGAUGGAAAGAAAAUGAUAAAAGAAAUAAUACUAGAAAAACUAAUAUGAAUGAAAAUUAUAAAGAAAAUAAGAAAAUAAUGAGAAAAUGAAAGAAAAAUAUGGAAAAGAAAAUGAAGAAAAUGAAAGAAAAAUUAUGAAGAAUGAAUGAAAAUAAUAGAAGAUGAAAGAGAACGAUAGAAAGUAGGAUAAGAGAUGAAAAAAAAGAAAAAAUAGAAACAAUAAGAAAAAAAAAACUUAUAAGAUAAAAAAGUGAAAUAAAAAAAAAUAGAAAAUGAAAGAAAAUGAGAGAAGGGGAAAAUCUGGAAGAAAGUAAAAUGAUAAAAUGAAUGAAUGAUAAAAAUAUAAAAGUUGGUGUUAUAUUUAUAAAUGCGAAUUACUAAUGAAUUUGUAAUUUAUUAUUAAAUUAAAAAAAUAACUUUUUUCUCUCCAAAAAAUUAUCAAUAGAUUUCAAAUUUAUUAGUAAACCCGUUAAUAACCGAAAAAUAUAAAUCGUAAAAAAAAAAGUGAAAAUUUAUGCAGAUUUUAUUUUAAAUUUACCAAUUGAUAUAUUAGCGAAUAGCAUCCAUCCAUAAAUUCAACAAUUUUUUUUAUGUAUUAAUUUAAUGAUAAAAUUUAAUAAUAGAUUUUUAAAUUCGUUAGUAAUUUUUUAGGCAAAUUACUAAUAUAUUUAGAGUUCGUAAGUAAUUUAAACACUUUUUAAAAUUUACUUAGGAUGUAAACAAACUGAGCAUAACCUAGUUUUGAAGAGUUCAAGUUUGGUUUGUUAAAAAUUUUUCAAACUCGAGCCGAACUCAAGGUUUAAUCAUUUCGAACUCAAGUCGAGUAUUAAUAAUGUCAAGCUUACUCAUUUAGCAAAUAAACUUAGAUGAGUCGAGUUUUUAUCGAAUUUAAUCUUGAAUAAUUCACGAAUAGUUAAAUUUAUUUACAUAUAUAAUGAAUUUUAUUUUAUGAUCAAAUAUAAUUUAGUCACAUUUUUAUUAUCUUUAUUACUAUUUAAUUACACAUUUUUUCAGCUUAAUUUAUGUUUUUAUAGUGUUUUUGCGGAAAAUGGAGAAAAUGGAAAGUUAGAGAAAAAGUGCAGAAAAAACUGGGAAAUUGAUUGGGUCAGAGUGAUUUGGCCAAAUCACCCGCAGGAAACCAAAACAGAAGGCUAAAGGCAGAAACCUGGAAGUAAUUCACAGAAAUGAUUUGGGCAAGUGAUUUGCCCAAAUCACACUAACGCUAGAGAGACCAAUAACGCGGGAAAGAAGAGCAGAAAAUCAAAAUUCAAAAGUGGAGAAGUCCAAUCCUACUUCAAACACUACAAAGUCAAUUCCAAGAGCCACGAGAAGGUCUUUCACUCAAGAAAUUCCAUUCACAAUUAAAUACAAAAUCAAAAGAGAAAUCAAAGACUACAAAAGACCAAGUCAAAAUUAGGAUUUUCAAACCCUAAUUGGACUAGGAUUCUCCAUCUAUAAAAGGGACAGCAUCAAAAACAGCUAGGGAGAUCUCUCCACAGUCGGAAUUUCUGCAAAAACUCGGCAGAAGCACAACAGCCUCCUCUCUUUUCUUUCUUCUUUCUUUUUUGUGAUUUUGUCCACCAUGAGUGGCUAAACACCUUCUUUUCUAGUUGAAGUUGGGAAAUUUCAGAUUUGUGAUGAAUUGAGAGAUUUAAAACUCUAUUAUUAAACUCUUAUUUAUUUUCAAUAUUUAUGCAACUUGAUCUUUCUAUUAUUAUUGCUUUGCUUUUAGAAUCAAUUAAGGUCUAUUACUUUUAAUUGCAUGAGUAAUAUAUUGUUUGAAUGAUUUAGGUCCGUAAUUACUUAGAUUGUUUAAACUCAAGUAUAAUCGGUUGCAUAAUCUAAACUUGACCACGCGGUUGGCAAGGUUAGAAUUAGAUUUCUCUAAAUCUUAAGGCAGUUAACAGUUGAAAAGUAAAAAAAUCCCAAAAACGUUUAUUGGCAACUUGUUAACUAGUGUUUAAUUAGCAAACAUUUCCUAAUCAUACUAAAACUAAGGAGAAAUUUGGAUUGUGAGAAACGUCUUCCACAUCUUAAACUAAUUUAUUGAAAUAAAUAGGGGUAUCAAAAAGAUCAAUGAUCAAUUCUAAAUAAGUUGAAAUAGAUCCAUACUUCAAUUAGAAUCCUUCUCCCAUUGAUUUACUCAUUUAUUUAAUUACUGCUUUCUUUUACUCAAUUGUAAUUCUUCAAAACAAAAUGCCGCCUUUUAUUUACUUUUAUUAUUUAUUUGUCCAAGUCAUUAUUAGGAAAAUUCGUAUUGUCAAAUCCAUGUGGUUUGACCCUAUUGUCACUAUCUACAAAUUAUUUUAUUGAUUGAAAAUAGGUUUAUUUUUUACGGUUUCGACAACCGCUAUCACUUUAAAACUAAUAAAUUUAAAACUAAAUAAUUUUAGUUAAAUAAAUAUAUAUAUAUAAAUUAGCUCCUAAAUUUAUAAAGAUAAGAUCUUAAAUUUUAACCUCUAAAUAUAUGCAAGUUUUAAUAGUGUAAUUAAAGUAUAUAGAGCUGAAUUUUAAAAAAUUUAAAUUUGGUUUAUGAAAGUAUAUGUAGGGUUUAAAAUUAUUUUUAUUAUGAUAUUAAUCUCAGUCUGUUUAACGAGACUACUCACAAGUUGUUCGUGAGCCUGUUCAUGAACUCGAAAAUGAACUGACAUCUUGAGUCUUAACGAGCCGAAUAUUAUGAAAUUUAAACUUGACUCAUUUACUAAAUAAAUUUAAAAAUUAAAUUUGAGCUUGCAUCAUAUAGAAAUAAAGUCAAAAUCGAUCAAGUUUUUAUCGAGUUGAAUCUCGAAUAACUCAUAAAUGGUUUAAUUCAUUUACACCCCUAAAUUUAUUAACAGAUUCAAAUUAUCAAUAAAUUACCAAAGAAUUUAUUAACAGAUUUUAAAUCUGAUAGGAAAUUUCAACACCAAUUAUUUUAUAAAUUUAUAAAGUUUUACAGAAUUUUUAAAUCCGUUAAUAUUAAUUUCAAAUUCGUGGUGAAUAAUAAUUUAUAAAGUUUUAAAGAAUUUUUAAAUCCGUUAAUAUUAAUUUCAAAAUUGUGGUGAACUUUUACAUGAUUUGUUGGUGAAUUUUUACAUAAUUUUUUUAUAUUAAGAAUUAAGAUGAAUUUUUAAAUUUAUUAAUAAAUUCAUUAAAUUUACUAAUGAAUUAAAGCACUAAUAAAAUCUGUUGGUAAUACGAAAAUAUAAAAAUUUCUUGUAGUGAAAAUUGUCCGGACAAAAUAUCUAUAAGUGGAUUGUGUGGUGCUGUGCUCUUCAUUAUCGGUAGAUCUACGAGGAGCUGAGAUUAUUGCAUAUAUAUAUAUAUAAUGUAUUCGAUUAUUUUUAUAUUUAAUAUUAUUUUAUUAAUUUUAUAAAUUAAAUUAUUCAUAUAACUUAAACAUAAUUAUUUUCCUUUUAAUUAUUAAACAAUUAUUAACAAUAUUAAAAAAUAAUCAUAUAUUCUAAUUAAUUAUUAAAAAUUUCUAACAAUAUAUAAUUAAAUAAUUUAAUUAAUUAAUUUUAGUGUAUUCUACCUAAGUAGAUUAUAUAUGUGUGUGUAUUUUUUUAUAUCAACCAUAAAUGUAUUAAUUAUUUUGUAGUUUUUAAUUAUAUAAAUAAAUUACGUAUUAAUAAUAUAAUAUAUUUUUAUAUAUUAAUUAUAUCUAUUUUUUAAUGAAAAUUAUAUAAUUAAUAACUACAUAAAAUAAUAAAAUAUUCUUAUCCAGAGUUAUAUAUAAUAUAUAUUAUAUUACUACAGUUAUUAUUAUUAUUAUUAUUAUUUAAUAUUAAUUAUUUAUUAUUUUAAAAUAAACGUAAAAGGCUAUUACGAUUUUAUUUGUAAAAAUUAAAAUUUAAAAUGAAACAAAAUUAAAAUUAAAAUAAUAAAAAAAAUUGAAAUCAAAUUGAGACUACUGAAAUUACUUAGAACUAUACUAAAUUUCAAUUCUAAAUAUGAUUCUACAUAAAUUUAAUUUGGUUCUGUUUCUUAGCAAAAACUAUAGCUUUUCCUUUUAGCAUGUUGCCUUUUAUGAACUUGUUCAUAAAUAAAUUUGGACAAAAAGUCCUGUUAAAUAGCUGAAGCUAAACUAGCAUUUUAAUCGCUAGUAGGACCAAUUGCAGUUGCUUAUCUCAGUGGCUGCAUGUCUGAUUUUCAUCCUCUUCUUUUGCUUAUAAUUUCUAAACCAAUCAGCAAGUAUCUCUAACAUGCCCAAAAGCUUUCCAAAAGUCUCAAAAUCUAUAUGAAACUCUUUCCUCCACUCCCAACUUUCUAACUUCCUAACUUUUCUUUUAAGAAUGAGGAGGCUGAACAUAUAAUUAUACUAAAAACAAACUCAUAUCUUUAAUGAUGCUUUAAAACACCAAGUUUAUCCCAUAGUUUCUUCAAUCUUCUAAAGUAAACAACAACUGAUAUAGAUUCUUGACUGAAACUACUUAUUUCUUUCUUUAAUUGGUGUAUAAGUUGCCCAAAUCUUUCUUUAAAGCAAGUGUCAUAGUCACAGACAUACUCCAAGUCGAAUAAUUUACUAAAUUUAAAGGUGCAGAUAGAUAUGAGAAUCCUACUUGGAUUAUCUGAGUUUUAAAGAGUAGAAGGAUCUGAAUCAUUUUGCAAUUGGUUUCCUACCUCUCAAUAUGUACCCUGUCAGCCCCACCUUCUCUAACAAACCAUUUUCCAUGGAUGCAGUCACAAAAACUUCAAGAAUGAUGCAUCUUGCAAAAAGAAAAAUACCGUGUACAAACAAGAGCCCAAAGAAAAUUUUAUUGAGUAUAUUACAAGGUUUAGAAAGUGGUAAAAACAUAAGAUGUCUCAUUAUAUACUGCUGAAAGGAGAAAAGAAACAACCAAAACAUCUUUUCUUGCCUAACUUAACUAACAUCUCAAACAGUAAGAAACAAUGCGUUUCACAUUCAUAACACCACACAAAUGUAUCGCAAAAUGCACCAUAUAAAUAACUCAAAUGGUGGUCCAACACUAAAAUAUAUCCGUUAUAUACCAUAUUGACAAAGAGGAUGUUUGCUUUUCCCUCAAUUCCCAUAACAUUUUCUGUUGUCUAUAAUUUUAGUGACUUUUCAUCCAACCAACAGCUGUAGAAGUCUAGUGAUUUUCUUACCUUGUAUUCUGGGACUGUAUAUCCUGCGCCCUGCAUUUAUAGUGUAGUAUAAUUGUUAAAUCAAUUCUCAAUUAAAGCACACCGGUUUAUAAUCAUUAGUUUCAUUAUAAUUAAAAAUUAUAAUAACAAAGCAAAAAUGAAUUGCUUAUACCUUUAUGGUUAGAAAGGUGAAGUUGUAGUCAUAUCCUUGCAAGUACCUACAAGAGAAAUGAUAGCAUUUUGAAAGGUCAUUGAGCACAAAAAUAAAAAUAGAUAAAGAUUCUUAGGCAUUGUAGUAUGGAACUAAUUAGUUUUAGUUCUCAACUCAAUGUUAGGACUGAGCUCUCGAGUUAAGGCUGUAGUAGCAGCAAAAAAAAAAAAUUGUAAUGGAGAUGGUGGGUUUACCAGCAACGUGAUGAUUAGAAAUCCAUGACCUCCAUUCAUCAACAAUCUUAUAUCAAAGAGAUCUAGUCCAUGUCAGAAUUCAAGCGAAAGGCACACACAUAUCAUGGUUUUCACCACAGGUCAUUUGCAGUGUUAGAAAUUUUCGUUUUGUGGAAGAGAAUCACAGCUGAUUGAAAUUAAAAAUGAUAUUUGAAGAAGUUAGUUAAAUUACAUAUUCUAUUAUAUUUGAAAAAGGUAAUUACCAAGUUGCGCUCCAAGACACACUUGAAUGGUCAAGAUAUAACAACUUUAGUUUGCUAAUCCCUCAUUGCGCACCUUUAAAAGCCUCAGAAUGAGAUUAUUAUUCCGCGAUAAAUGUACUAGCAAUUCUGUGGUAGCAUCAUCAGCAGUGAACCCCCUUAUCAACCAUUUCGGUGAUUAGUUCUGAUGCUUUUGGUAAAUCCUCAUGCAUGAGAAACCCUUGAAUGAUGAUAUUAUAACAACAAUUAUUUGGUAAACAUCCUACCUUUUCCAUGUCUUUAAAUACGUUAUACGCUUCAUCAAUUAAUCCUUGUUGGCAGAGUCCUUUCAUAAUUGCAUAAUAUACAUAAACAUCAGGUUGUAAACCAAUUUCAAAAAGACUAGAAAAAAGUUCCUUGGCAUCAUUAAUCUUCCCAACUUUGCACAUACCAUUGAUCAGACUGCUAUAGAUCACAACAUUAGGUUUCAACUGACUUUUCUCCAUUGCUUUCAAUAGUGUGAGUGCCUCAUCGAGAUUCCCCUGUCUACACAAGCCAUCAAUCAUAAUUGAGAAGGUUACUAUAUUUGGUUGUUGACCAUGAGAGCACAUAUCCUUAAAGAGCUCUUUUGCAUUUUGGGGCCUCCCUGCUUGAAACAUACCCUCUAUAAGAGUAGAAUAAGUAACAACAUCAGGAACUAAACCUUUAUGAGACAUUUCAACAAAAAUAUCCUUUGCAUCAUCUAUCAUUUUGCACUUGCAAUAUCCAUUGAUCAAAAUGCUGUAGCUAAAAAUGUCAGCUAUUUCAUUGGUCACCGUCAGAUCAAAUACCUUUCUAGCCUUAUCAAUUUGCUUGCACAGACAAUAUCCAUCCAUCAAUGAAUUAUAAUUGACAACAUCAGGUUCCACACCUCUUUGAAUCAUUAUCUUGAUUAUAUUCUGUGCAUUUGAAACCAGUCCUUUCUUACAAAGAGUGUCGAUCAAUAUAUUGAAGGUAAAAACAUCAGGGGAUAUGUUCCUCCCCACCAUUUCUUUCAACAAGGCCAAAGCUUCCUUGAAUUGGUCUGAAAUGCAAAGACCAUCAAUUAAGGAAUUGUAGGUGACCACAUCAGGCUCUACACCUCUUUGAAUCAUUACAUUGAAUGUAUUUUGAGCCUCUGAAACCAUUCCAUCCUUACAAAGAGCAUUGAUCAAUACACUGAAGGUAUAAACAUUUGGUAAUAUGUUUUGCUCCACCAUUUCAUUCAUCAAGGCCAAAGCUUGGUUCUUUUGGCCUAAUUUGCAAACACCAUGAAUUAAACCAGUGUAAGUGAUGACAUCAGGUGAAAUGCCCUUAUUCCUCAUUUGAGAGAAGAGCUCUAAAGCCUCACCAACUAGCUCAUCCUUGCAAAGGGCGUGAAUGAUUGCAUUGUAUGUCACAACAUCUGGCUCACAACCUCUAUCAGCCAUUCCCUUUAGCAGCCCAAUAGCCACGUUUGUUUUCCCAAAUUUACACAUUCCGUUUACUAUCACAUUAUAAGUAUAAACAUUAGGUUGAUAACCACGUGCAACCAUAUCAUCGGAAAAUUUCACUGCUUUAUCCAUUUUACCCUUCAUACAAAGCCCAUUAAUUAAGGUAGUAAAUGUCACAGUGGUAGGCUCCAAUCCGAAUUUGAGCAUCUUACCAAAAACAGAGAAGCCAAAAUCCACAAGGUGUAAACGGCAGAAGCAAUUAAUUAAGAUGUUAAGAGAAUAAACAUUGUGAGAGAUUCCUAGCAAUUCAAUUGUUUUGGACAUGGAAAGGACAGUAUGAUAUUGUUUCAUUUUCACAAGGGCAGAUAAGAAUCUAUUAAAUGGAGCCCUAAAAGGCAGAGGAUGCAUAUGAAUUACAUGAUUGAAGGACGCAAUGGCACCAUCAAGGUGAGUAAAAGAAGCAGAUUUGAAAUUAUUUGUCAAGAAGUGUGCAUCUUCAAGUGUGGAAGUAGAAGAAUGGCAAAAAUUGGUAAAUAAGAAUAGGAAUGGAGAUUGAAUGUUACCAAUUGCCCCUUGUAGCUGAAGAUGGAAGCUCCUGCUCUUCCUCCUCGAAGGCAUCUUCAUCAUCAUCGAUCUCUUGUCAGUUGUUUUUAGGGAUGGAUCGGAGAUUGGGAAUGAGGAAAGGAAAUAGAGAAUUGGAAAAGGAAGGCUCUCUGCCUGCUGGUAAAGGAAAUGCAUUACUCUGUCGUUUAUAUGCACCACAUUUUGUAAUUUUUUAUUAAAUUUUCAUAUAAAAAUAUUAUUUAAUAGCAAAUUAAAUUUAUCAUUUGUAGAUACCUAAUUAAAGGCAGUUAUAUAAAUUGUUAAUUUUAUUUUUAAUAUUAAUAAAAUUUCAUGAAAAAUAUAUUUAAUUUUUAGCUUAUAUAAUUUUUUAUUAUUAAUUAUUUUAUUUUAUUAUAAUAAAAUUAAUUUUUUUACCAAACUUUACUCUUAUAGGAAUUGUUUAGCGCAUUUUUAUUUUGACAUCUAUUUAGAUAAUAUUACGAUUUAAUUAAUGUAAUAAAAAAAUUAAUAUAUAAAAUUAUUUCAAAAUAAUAAAAUUUUGAAAUGCUCAAACUCACUACAUAUAUUUCGCAUUUUCAAUUUUAUUUGUUAUUAAUAUUAACGUAAAAUUAUAAUAUAUAAUUUUUUUUCUAUAGAUUUAAUAUACAGUAUAUUGUAUUAUAAAUUAUAAGAAAUUAUUUUUAAAAUAUGAAUAAUACUUAUGUACAAAAUAUCAUAAAAGUUAAAAAAUUAAAUUAAAACAUUAAAAUUCAUUAAAAUUAUAAAUAUUUUAUUUAUAUGAUCACAUAAUAAAUUUUAAAUUAAAAAAUUAAAUUAAUGUGUGAAACUAAUCAUAAAAAUAUAAAAUUAUUAGCAUGAAUUAUUUAUUCGGAAUUUUUAGCCAAAAACUCAGAUAUCUAUCAUUAUAAAAUUAAUACUUUUAAUAAUUUUUUAAGUAGAAAGUUUUAAAUUUUAGUUAGUUAUUUGUUUUAGAUUAUAAUGAAUUUAAUUUCAAUUUAAAUUAAAAAGUAAUAUAGUUAAUUAAUUAAAUAUUUUUAAAUAGCAAUAAAAUACAAUAAAUUUAUAAUUAUUAAAUGUAGUUUGACAAUUUAAAUAAUAAUAGCUUCUUAAUUAUUUAUAUUUAAAUUAUCAUUUUUAUAUCUUAAAUUCUAAGAUUAUCUUUUAUAGACAUGUAUAAGAUAAACUAAAUUAUAUAUAUAUAUAAAGAAAACUAAAUUACUCUCCAAUCUUCAUGUUAUAAUAUUAUAUAAUUAAUUAUUUUUACUAGUUUAAAAAUAUGUUAUAAGAGAGACAACACACUUAAUAUAUCAUAACUUAUAUGAUUCUGAGCGAUACAUUCUACUAAAAAAUAAAAUUCAGAUAAUUAAAGGUGUUUAAUUUUAGAGCCAAAAGAUCGAAAAACUCUUGAGUUUCAUCAUUCAAAGUGUUAAAUGGGUGUUGAGACCUUAAGAUUUCAGCCUUAAAAUUAAUAUCAACAGGAGGUCUCAACCGCCUUUGAAAUCCAAGGAUUAUAUGACAGUCAACUCAAGACUGAAACCCAAGGGUAAUGACUAUUGAGUUGAAGGCUUCGGCCUACUAAGCCAAAAUCCAAAUAGACGAUAUUAUUCAAAUCACGUAAAAGUCGUAUGAUAAUUAAGACUUCAAAUCACAUAUGAGUAAAAAUGUUCUCGGAGUAAAAUUUUACAAUCUAGAACCAAUAUAGAUUUCAAAUAGUCCUACCAAGAGUCGACCAGCUUUAGAUCUAAAAGACACCUCAAGUAUGUUAAGUUAUCUUUUAAUCAAACCAUUCUCUAUACCUUUAUUUUGAGAUUUAUGAUAGAUCACUUACUAAUUUAAGUAUCAAAAAGAUAACCCACAAUAAUUCAUAUCUGAACGUUAUAUCUAUUGAGCCUGAGAAGAUCAAUAUACCAUCACUAAAAAUGGUUAUUGAUAUUAAUUGCACUACAUUUUACAUAUAUUUUAGGACAAAUCUAUACAUGGAUUUAUCUGAAUUCAUAUUUUACUAGGUAUAGAACCAAUCUUUAUUCAUAUUGUUUACAAAGAAGCUGAAACAUGGUAAACUAAAGACUUUUUUUAUUAUUUUUUUAAAAAAUUAAAAAAACUUAUUAAAUUAAGAAAAAUUAGAUGUAUAUUUGCACCUCUAAACUUUAUUAAAAAAAUUAUAUCCACAAAAAUUAAAUUAUUUUCUUAAGUUAAACUACUUUCAUAUAUUUUAUUUAUAAUUUUGACUCCACUUAUUUACGAAAAAUAAUUACUAUUUGAAUAAUAUUAAAAAAUAUUUUUUAAUAAAAUAACUUAUUUUCUCUUAUUUAAUUUUAAUUUAAAAAUAAAAUUUAUAAACUAAUUUAUAUAGCAGUCUUAAUAAGAUACUCAAAAUGCAGACAAUGAUUUUUUUUUUUUAAUUUAUUUUUCUUAAAAUAACUUAAUUUUUAUUUUAAAUAAAAAAUAUUUUCUAUUAACUAAAUUUUAAGAGUGUUUUGAAUGUUGGAAAAUAUGGACAAUUAUUACAAGAAAAAUAUUCAUUAAUGAGAGAAAAAAUUAUCAUUAAAUAUUAAAAAUUAAUCAUUGAAAAAUUACAAAAUUAUUUUUAAUUUUGUGAAAACAAAAAAUAAAAAUCAUGAAGUGAUACUAAAUGCACUUUAAAUUAGUCGUUAUAUAUAUAUAUGAGUGCAAGUGUGUAGAAAGUGAAUUAAGAAAUUAAAAUAUAAAAGAGUAAAUUAUUGUUUGAUUUUUGUACUAUUUUAAUUUUUUUUUAUUUCUAUGUCAUUCUGUUAAAAUAAAUCAUUAUAUUAUUUAUUUUUUUAAUUAUAUAUAUAUAAUUUAUUUUUUCUAAUUAAAGCUAAAAAUAUAUUUAUUAAUAUUUUAUUCGAUAAAAAUAUCAAAGAAUUUGAUUUUAUAAAAUUGAAUGAUUUGAAAAUAAAAAUUGAAUAGUUAAUUUUAAUAAAAUACAACGAUCUAUUAACAAUUUAAUCUUAUAAAAAAGAAUUAUUCAAAACUCUCUAAAGUUUCAUCAAACAGUGAGAAUCCCCUUGCAAGUUUCAUCAAACUUAUCAGUAGUGCAAGUAAGUACAAUUGGCCCAUCAAUUCUGGAGUCGAGAUCACCAUUCUGAUAUUGUUUAAUCAAUUCUUGUAAUGCCAGAAACUUCAGAUUCUCUACUUGAACUUGAUAUCUCUUGCUCUCGUUACCCACGUAUAUGGCUACAUAGCCUUUUCGAAUUUGUGGAGUUUUGACUUUUUGAUCAGUGGAACUGGAGAGCAAUUUAUAAGAAAAAAAUGACUAGAUUGCAUAACGUUGAUCUAAAAUUUUGUAAAUAAAAUCCAUUUUCCUGCUAGAAGCUCUCGACGAUGACAUUAUUGAUGAAAUUUUUUUAAGUUAAAAAAACUAUUUGAGAGUUAAAGAAUCCGAAAGAAAAUUGUAUUACAAAGAAUAAUAGUUGGGAUUCAAUUUAUAUAUAGAAUGAAUGAGUUUUCCUGAUGAAAUUUGGAUUUCCAGCAGUAAGUAAAGUUUUUUAGCUGGAUUAGUUUAUUAAUUGGUUUAAAAAAGAUACAAAUUAAGGCAGUGAAAAAGAAUCUUUAUUAAUUAUAUAAUUAUUUACAUUUUGAUUUAUUAAUGGUAAUUGCUAAAUAUGGUAAUUAAGUGAUGCUUAAGUUUAUAAUUUUGAGAAUAAUAAGAUAUGACGAUAAUAUUUAUUCAGUUUUAUGGUUUUUAGUUUCUUAAAAUGGCAGAAUUAGUUUAUAGGUCAGUAGAUUUUUUGUUAGGAGUUUGAAAUGGGAGAGAUUAUCACAAAUUAUAUGCAAUAUUCACACUUAAUUAAUUCUCUAAAUUUUUCAUACAGAAUGUUGAAAUGGUUAUCUUUGAUUAAAAAAAAGAAAUGGUUAUAAUAAAAAAUUAAAUAUUUUAUUUUUUUAUAUCAACACCAAUUUUGUUAAAAAUAACAAAAUUAUUAAAAUUAUUGAAUAAAUUAACUAAAAUUAAUAAUGAGUGAAAAUAUUGAAUUAACAGAAAGAUUUUGAUUUUUUUCUUUUUGUUAUUUAAUUUUUUUAAAGAAAUGAAGAUAACUAUUUUUUAACAAAAAGUGGGGCCAUUGAAACUAGAAUUAGCUGCUUUGAUUCAAUUUUUCUUUUCUUUUUUUGUAAAUUUUAUGUUGAUUCCCUUCAAUUUUUUUUUCUUACUAGAAUUUAUUUUCUUUUUGUAGUUUAUUAACUAUCAUACAUUACAAAAUAAUAUUUAAUGGAAAAUUUUAAUUAUAGUUUUAUUAAUAAUGAUGUUUAUAUUAAUUUUAUAUUAUUUAAUUUUAUAUAAUAAGAUAAAUAAUAAAAAGUAAAAAUACCUUUUAUAUAUAUAUAUAUAUAAGAGUUUAAUUUAUGUAAGAGUUUUCUUUAUAAUAAAGUUAUAUAUUUAAUUUAAUUAANNNNNNNNNNNNNNNNNNNNNNNAUAUAUAUUUUGAGAGUUUAAUUUAGGUAAGAGUUUGUAAAAUUAUAAAUAACAAACAGAUUUAUAAAUCAUUUGCAAAUAAAAGUGUAAUCGUUUAUAAAAUUAAAAAGAUACAUAGAUACAUGUAUGAAUUUGUUCAUACAUACAAAUGUGUGAACCAUUUGUAAACUUAAAUGCUCAUAAACAAAUUCACAAAUGAAAAUUUGUUAUGGAGUUAUAAUCCAUUUUUAAAAUUAGAUGUACACAUAUGGAUUUGUAGGGGUGAGCAUUCGGUCGGUUCGGUUCAAAAUCGAAUCGAACUGAAAAAACCGAAAACCUAAAUUUUAGUAUUUAUGAAAAUCGAACCGAACCGAUUUUGGUCAGAAACCGAAUCGAACCGAACCGGUCUGAUUCGGUUCGAUUCGGUUCGUUUGAUCAGUUUCGAUUUUUAAUGAUUUUUUUUAUUUUUUACACUUUAUUUUUAAUAUUUUAAAAUUUAAUUAAAAUAUUUUAAUUUUAAUAUGAUUUAAUUUCUCUACAUUAUUGAAAAAACAUAUUAUUAUCACUAAUCGGUUCGGUUCGAUUUUUUCAGUUUUUUUCUGAUUAAAACCGAACCGAACCGAAAUAACUGAAAUUUUUGAAAUUAAAAACCGAACCGAACCGAAAUGUAUAAAAAAUCAACUAAAUUUUAAAUCGAUUCGGUUCGGUCGGUUUUUUUGAGUUUGAACCGAAUACUGCUCACCCCUACGGAUUUGUAAAUAGAAGUGUAACUAUUUGUAAAAUUAAAAAGACAAACGGAUUUACAAAUAAAUAUGCAAUUGAUUUGUAAAAUUAAGAAAAAUUAACUAUUUAAUCAUUAUGAUAUGAUAAAAUUUAUCCGUUGUUCCCUUUAUUUUAAAAAAUAUAUUAAAAUAUUUUUAAAAUUUUAAAAAAUUUACUAAUUAAUCACUCCGUUACUAUAGGGACUAAGUAGUAAUCUUUUCUAAAAUUAAAGGACUACAAACAUAUUUACAAAUAAAUAUGAAAAUAAAAAUUAAAUGGAUAUAGAAUAAUUUGUAAAUGGACUUAUAAUUAGCUUGUGAAAUUAAUACAAAUAAAUUUAUAAACGAAUAUAUAUAAGUCAUUUAUAAAUUUAAUUUGAUAUAAAUAAAUUUAUGAUAUAGAAUUAUAAAAAAGAAUAUUUAUAUUUUUGCUAUUUCCAUUUGUAAAGCUAUAACAUUCAUAAAUGAAUUUAUAUCGGUUUAUAAAUUCCAUUUAUAUUUUAAAAAAUUCUUAUAGUAAAGGAUGAAAGAGUGAACAAUCAUAAUAAAUAGAAAAUCUUUCCAAAACAAUUAAACAAACUAUAUCAGAAGAAUUGAAGAGUUGGUUAAGAUUAUGCAGUCUAUCAGUUGUUCUUAAUUUUUAUCUUUUUCAAAAAUAUAAAAAUAAGAGUUGAUCAAUAAAAUAUAACAUGUUUCGGUUUGGAGAGUUGAUUGAGACUAUUUAGUUGUAUUCAAUUUUUAUCUUUUUCAAAUAUAUAUAUAUAUAUAAAUUUCCGAAAAGCAAAGAAACCAAAAUCCAGAAGGUGUAAAUGGAAAAAGAAACAUUUAAGAAUCUAUUAAAUAUCAAGAAUUCAGUUGUUUUAAACAAGGAAAUGACAAAGUACGUAAUAUUGUUGCAUGGCAUUUUCACAAGGGCAAAUAAGAAUCUAUUAAAUUGAGCCUACAAGGCAAAGGAUGCAUAUGAGUUACUGUUAGUAGACAGACCUUGCUAAUUUAUAAACGCUCAAUCAUAGAAAGAAGAAAGGGAUGCAGGUUACCAAGAUCAAUCACAUUAGAGAUUUUGACAAGUAUAAUUUUGACAAUUCAAUUAUUUCCCAUUCCCAUUUGUUCUUCACCCAACAGCCCAUAUUUAACAUCAACACAAAUAGGUUAGCUGCUAAAUUUAAUAGUCUGCUAAAGGAGAAUUUGAGAGCAAUAUUACCAACCGAUCGUCUCUCAUUCCAAAAUUUCAUUUUCAUCUCAUUCCCCACAGCAAAUCUGAUAUGAAUUAAAGGAGAGAAGGAAGAGUUCAUCGAAAGUAGCAUAGCCUCGAAUGUCUUUCUGAAGGGAAGAAAUGCAAUUUCCUGGAGCAAGAGAGAUACCCUUCUCCAAAUUGAAAGAAUAUUUGGAUAGAAGUUGAACUCAGAGUGAAUCCCUAUGAUUUUCAAAUCUCCAAAGCCAUUUGAACAAAAGAGCUUGAAUUUGAAGAGAGAUCUCUUUCAUGCCUAAGCCUCCUUUCUUUUUAGGCAACAAAAGAGUAUUCCAUUUAAUCAGAUGAAGUUUCUUUGUACUGACAUUUUUCCUGCCACCUUUGAUUAUACCUGUGUUAUAUAUAGAGCUAACCUGCCUUUUAUGAACUUGUUCAUAAAUACAUUUGGACAAAAAGUCCUGUUAAAUAGCUGAAGCUAAACUAGCAUUCCAAUCGCUAGUAGGACCAAUUGCAGUUGCUUGUCUCAGUGGCUGCAUAUGUCUGAUUUUCAUCCUCUUCUUUUGCUUUUCCCUCAAUUCCCAUAACAUUUUCUGUUGUGUAUAAUUUUAGUGACAUUUCAUCCAACCAACAGCUGUAGAAGUCUGGUGAUUCUCUUACCUUGUAUUAUGGGACUGUAUAUCCUGCAACCUGCAUUUAUAGUGUAGUCUAAUUGUUAAAUCAAUUCUCAAUUAAAGCACACUGGUUUAUAAUCAUUAUUUUCAUUAUUAUUAAAAAUUAUAAUAAUUAAGCAAAAAAGAAUUGCUUAUACCUUUAUGGUUAGAAAGGAGAAGUUGUAGUCAUAUCCUUGCAAGUACCUACAAGAGAAAUGAUAGCAUUUUAAAAGGUCAUUGAGCACAAAAAUAAAAACAAAGAUUCUUAAUCAUUGUAGUACGGAACCAAUUAGUUUUAGUUCUCAACUCAAUUUUAGGACUGAGCUCUCGAGUUAAGGCUGUAGUAGCAGCCAAAAAAAAAAUUGUAAUGGAGAUGUUGGGUUUACCAGCAACUUGAUGUAGAAAUCCAUGACCUCCAUUCAUCAACAAUCUUAUAUCAAAGAGAUCUAGUCCAUGUUUGAAUUCAAGCGAAAGGCACACACAUAUCAUGAUUUCCACCAUAGGUAAUUUGCGGUUUUAAAAAUUUUUGUUUUGUGGAAGAGAAUCACAGCUGAUUGAAAUUAAAAAUGAUAUUUGAAGAAAUUAGUUAAAUUACAUAUCUAUUAUAUUUGAAAAAGGUAAUUACCAAGUUGCGCUCCAAGAUACACUUGAAUGGUCAAGAUAUAACAACUUUAGUUUGCUGAUCCCUCAUUGCGCACCUUUAAAAGCCUCAGAAUGAGAUCAUUAUUCCGCGAUAAAUGUACUACCAGUUCUGUGGUAGCAGCAUCAGCAGAGAACCCCUUAUCAACCAUUUCAUUGAUUAGUUCUGAUGCUUUUGGUAAAUCCCCAUGCUUGAGAAACCCUUGAAUGAUGAUGUUAUAACAAGAAUUAUUUGGUAAACAUCCUACCUUUUCCAUGUCUUUAAAUACGUUAUACGCUUCAUCCAUUAAUCCUUGUUGGCAGAGUCCCUUCAUUAUUGCAUUAUAUACAUAAACAUCAGGUUGUAAACCAAUUUCAAAAAGACUAGAAAAAAGUUCCUUGGCAUCAUUAAUCUUCCCAACUUUGCACAUACCAUUGAUCAGACUGCUAUAGAUCACAAAAUUAGGCUUCAACUGACUUUUCUCCAUUGCUUUCAAUAGGGUGAGUGCCUCAUCGAGAUUCCCCUGUCUACACAAGCCAUCAAUCAUAAUUGAGAAGGUUACUAUAUUUGGCUGUUGACCAUGAGAGCACAUAUCCUUAAAGAGCUCUUUUGCAGUUUGGGGCCUCCCUGCUUGAAACAUAGCCUUUAUAAGAGUAUGAUAAGUAAUAGCAUUAGGAACUAAACCUUUAUGAGACAUUUCAUCAAAAAUCUGCUUUGCAUCAUCUAUCAUUUUGCACUUACAAUAUCCAUUGAUCAAAAUGUUGUAGCUAAAAAUGUCAGCUAUUUCAUUGGUCACCAUCAGAUCAAAUACCUUUCUAGCCUUAUCAAUUUGCCUGCACAGACAAUAUCCAUCCAUCAAUGAAUUAUAAGUGACAACACUAGGUUCCACACCUCUUUGAAUCAUUAUUUUGAUUAUAUUCUGUGCAUUUGAAACCAGUCCUUUCUUACAAAGAGUGUCAAUCAAUAUACUGAAGGUAAAAACAUUAGGGGAUAUGUUCCUCCCCACCAUUUCUUUCAACAAGGCCAAAGCUUCCUUGAAUUGGUCUGAAAUGCAAAGACCAUCAAUUAAGGAAUUGUAGGUGACCACAUCAGGCUCUACACCUCUUUGAAUCAUUACAUUGAAUGUAUUUUGAGCCUCUGAAACCAUUCCAUCCUUACAAAGAGCAUCAAUCAAUACAUUGAAGGUAUAAACAUCUGGUAAUAUGUUCUGCUCCACCAUUUCAUUCAUCAAGGCCAAAGCUUGGUUCUUUUGGCCUAAUUUGCAAACACCAUGAAUUAAACUAGUGUAAGUGAUGACAUCAGGUGAAAUGCCCUUAUUACUCAUUUGAGAGAAGAGCUCUAAAGCCUCACCAACUAGCACAUCCUUGCAAAGUGCGUCAAUGAUAGAAUUGUAUGUCACAACAUUUGGCUCACAACCUCUAUCAGCCAUUCCCUUUAGUAGCCCAAUAGCCACGUUUGUUUUCCCAAAUUUACACAAUCCGUUUACUAUCACAUUGAAAGUACGAACAUUAGGUUGAUAACCACGUGCAACCAUAUCAUCGAAAAAUUCCACUGCUUUAUCGAUUUUACUCUCCAUACAAAGCCCAUUAAUUAAGGUAGUAAAUGUCACAGUGGUAGGCUCCAAUCCGAAUUUGAGCAUCUUACCAAAAACCGAGAAGCCAAAAUCCACGAGGUGCAAGUGGCAGAAGCAAUUAAUUAAGAUGCUAAGAGAAUAAACAUCGUGUGAGAUUCCUAGCAAUUCAAUUGUUUUGGACAUGGAAAAGACAGUGUUAUAUUGUUUCAUUUUCACAAGGGCAGAUAAGAAUCUACUAAAUUGAGCCCUAGAAGGAAGAGGAUGCUUAUGAAUUACAUGAUUGAAGGAAGCAAUGGCAUCAUCAAGGUGGGUAAAAGAAGCAGAUUUGAAGUUAUUUGUCAAGAAGCGUGC